GAGUAAGAGCAUUUAUGUUAGGACCCGAAAGAUGGUGAACUAUGCCUGAGUAGGGCAAAGUCAGAGGAAACUCUGAUGGAGGCUCGAAGGGGUUCUGACGUGCAAAUCGAUCUUCAAACUUGGGUAUAGGGGCGAAAGACUAAUCGAACCAUCUAGUAGCUGGUUCCCUCCGAAGUUUCCCUCAGGAUAGCUGGAACUUAUUGUGAAGUAGUUUUAUCAGGUAAAGCGAAUGAUUAGAGGCUUUGGGGAAGAAACUUCCUCGACCUAUUCUCAAACUUUAAAUAGGUAAGAUUUGAAGGAUACUUAAGUGAUCUUUCAAUCUCUUGAAUAUAAAGUUCUUAGUGGGCCUAUUUUUGGUUAAGCUAGAACUUGGCGAUGUGGGAUGAACCGAACGUUAAGUUAAAGU
This 406-nucleotide ribosomal RNA is filed under the name uncultured eukaryote. Its description in RNAcentral is "eukaryotic LSU rRNA". It matches the Rfam family "Eukaryotic large subunit ribosomal RNA", at positions 792 to 1186 of the family's 3401-position model. The record is from RNAcentral.